Molecule: ribosomal RNA, 685 nt
Filed under: uncultured Vibrionaceae bacterium
Lineage: Bacteria; Pseudomonadati; Pseudomonadota; Gammaproteobacteria; Vibrionales; Vibrionaceae
Description: bacterial SSU rRNA
Rfam family: Bacterial small subunit ribosomal RNA
Source: RNAcentral
UAGAGUUUGAUCAUGGCUCAGAUUGAACGCUGGCGGCAGGCCUAACACAUGCAAGUCGAGCGGAAACGACACUAACAAUCCUUCGGGUGCGUUAAUGGGCGUCGAGCGGCGGACGGGUGAGUAAUGCCUAGGAAAUUGCCUUGAUGUGGGGGAUAACCAUUGGAAACGAUGGCUAAUACCGCAUAAUGCCUACGGGCCAAAGAGGGGGACCUUCGGGCCUCUCGCGUCAAAAUAUGCCUAGGUGGGAUUAGCUAGUUGGUGAGGUAAUGGCUCACCAAGGCGACGAUCCCUAGCUGGUCUGAGAGGAUGAUCAGCCACACUGGAACUGAGACACGGUCCAGACUCCUACGGGAGGCAGCAGUGGGGAAUAUUGCACAAUGGGCGAAAGCCUGAUGCAGCCAUGCCGCGUGUAUGAAGAAGGCCUUCGGGUUGUAAAGUACUUUCAGUUGUGAGGAAGGGUGUGUAGUUAAUAGCUGCAUAUCUUGACGUUAGCAACAGAAGAAGCACCGGCUAACUCCGUGCCAGCAGCCGCGGUAAUACGGAGGGUGCGAGCGUUAAUCGGAAUUACUGGGCGUAAAGCGCAUGCAGGUGGUUCAUUAAGUCAGAUGUGAAAGCCCGGGGCUCAACCUCGGAACUGCAUUUGAAACUGGUGAACUAGAGUGCUGUAGAGGGGGGUAGAAUUUCA